This 350-nucleotide long non-coding RNA is filed under the name Sinocyclocheilus grahami. RNAcentral describes it as "lncRNA (ENSSGRG00000014539.1)". The record is from RNAcentral. Lineage: Eukaryota; Metazoa; Chordata; Actinopteri; Cypriniformes; Cyprinidae.
UUGCUGCUGACCAGCCCAUGUACACAUGACAUGUUUGAUUUGUGAUUCAUUGCUUCUGUGUAGGAAUUUGAGCUUUCGUUUCAGUGAAUGUUUCCACUUGGAUUAUCUAAUGUGAAAUGUGUUCAAAGAAUCACAACUCAGAUGAAGUCUUCUGUCAGUCAGCAGCUCUUUUGAUCAUCGACGCCUCCUCAAACUCUCACAGCUACACACAGAGCCGUGGAUAUGCUGAUAUGAUCACCCUGGCAACAUCACGAACCACUGAGGGCAAAACACCAGUGUCCUCUCUUAAGGAUGCGAGCCAGUGACAACGACAGCUUGGCAAUCCAUUAUUCACACACCAUUGCACCCGU